GGGGAUGUAGCUCAGUGGUAGAGCACUUGCCUAGCAUAUAGAAGGCCAUGGAUUGAAUUACCACCACCUCCA
This 72-nucleotide transfer RNA is filed under the name Fukomys damarensis (Damara mole-rat). It matches the Rfam family "tRNA". Rfam says of the family: Transfer RNA (tRNA) molecules are approximately 80 nucleotides in length. Their secondary structure includes four short double-helical elements and three loops (D, anti-codon, and T loops). The record is from Rfam by way of RNAcentral. Lineage: Eukaryota; Metazoa; Chordata; Mammalia; Rodentia; Bathyergidae.